This 2482-nucleotide unclassified non-coding RNA is filed under the name Chelonus insularis. RNAcentral's name for it is "serine/threonine-protein kinase dyf-5-like, transcript variant X1". The record is from RNAcentral. Lineage: Eukaryota; Metazoa; Arthropoda; Insecta; Hymenoptera; Braconidae.
UAGAUCUCAGUAUAUCGUGGCAAUAAUAAGUUUUUGAAAUAAAUUAUUAUAGACAAAAUUUAUUAAAUUAUUGCGUUUUAUUUUGAAGUAUUAAUAUAUUUGAAAGAAAUUAGUUGUAAUUUGUCUUUAAAUAAUUGUAUAUUUAUAUUAAUGAUAUUUUAUCAAAAUUGUAAUUGCGUUUGGAGUAAGCCAUUUUAGUACAUGAAUGUAUGGAAAUAGUUAUUACAAUAGUUGUCAUGGUUACACAUACACUACAUGGCUACUAAAUAUUUAGUUCACCAGUUCAUUUUUGUCCGUCAUACAGACAACAAGUUAAAAAAAUUUCUAUCAAAAUUAUUUACAGUUGUAUUAUUAUUUAUUAUUUUAGUUGGUAUAAUAUGAUGACUAAUAGAGGUCAAAUUUUGCAUCGCACGAAAAUACAAACCUAAACGAUAAUCCAGAUUAUGUGCAAUUCCAUGCUAUCAAGAUGAUUGAACAAGAUGUUCUAUAAAGUUAACGUCAACGCAGAAAUAAUUACAUAUAGAACUAAAUCAUCACACGAUCAUCAUCAGUGACAUAACAGAUUUAAUUAAAACGAUAAUAUUACACUCCUAAGUGUAGAAGUUGUUAUUAAUUACUAAAAUUAAAUGCAGUCUUAGAUAAGCACAUUCUGGAGAGUACCUUUCAUCUGUUAAUAGUCUUAAGAAAGGUCGAUUAAACAUGAAUCGAUACAUAACAUUGAGUCAAUUAGGCGAUGGUACAUUUGGAUCGGUUGUACUUGGUCAACGUAUUGACACUGGUGAAAAGGUUGCUAUUAAAAGGAUGAAAAGAAAAUAUUAUUCCUGGGAAGAAGCUAUGAAUCUUCGAGAAGUCAAGUCUUUGAAGAAGCUGAGUCAUGCUAACGUGGUAAAAUUGAAAGAAGUCAUCCGGGAAAAUGAUGUUCUCUAUUUCGUCUUUGAAUACAUGAAGGAAAAUCUAUAUCAACUAAUGAAAGAUAGAGAUAAAUUAUUUCCGGAGCCAGUUAUUAGAAAUAUGGUUUAUCAAGUGCUUCAGGGUCUAGCAUUCAUGCACAAGCAUGGUUUCUUUCAUCGAGAUAUGAAGCCAGAGAAUUUAUUAUGCAUGGGUCCAGAGUUAAUUAAGAUAGCUGACUUUGGUUUGGCACGUGAAAUCCGUUCUAGGCCACCAUACACUGACUACGUAUCGACAAGAUGGUACAGAGCUCCAGAAGUUUUACUUCAUUCAACCACAUACAGCAGUCCAAUAGAUAUUUGGGCGGUUGGUUGUAUAAUGGCUGAACUCUAUACAUUUAGACCUUUGUUUCCUGGUAAAAGUGAAAUUGAUGAAAUUUUUAAAAUUUGUGCUGUAAUGGGAACACCAGAUAAAGAUGACUGGCCAGAAGGCUAUGAGCUAGCUGAAGCAAUGAACUUUAGGUUUCCUCUGUUCAAGAAAACUCCUCUUAAAGAUAUUAUACCGAAUGCUAGUCAAGAUGCUAUUAUUCUUAUGGAAGAUAUGCUUGAAUGGAAUCCAAUUAAAAGACCUAAUGCUCAGCAAGCACUCAGAUAUCCUUAUUUCCAAGUUAAUAAUGCAACACGUGUUGCAAUGAGUGGACAAAAGCUUGGAAGUAGUUCUCAUCCUCAGCGAGAAUAUAUGAUGAAUAAAAUUCAUAUUCCUUCACAGAAUAUUUUCUUUCAACCUAGUAAUAAAGAUUUUAAUCGUAAUAUUAUUGGAUCUCAAGCCAUUGAUAAAGUUAUAAUCCCACAAGCUAAUCAACAGUCCACUCUGCCCCUCCUUAAUGGUAAUGACAUGAAAAAAGCAGAAAAAAAUGUGCCAACCUGGGGAGAUGAAGAUUUAAUCAAUUCUCUUGGAAAUAAAAUAUUGUCAGAGAAAAAUUCAAUAGGAUUAAAACCAAUAAUAAAUGCUGCUGAUAAGUUGAUUCAUAAAGAAAAUCGAAUAAACUGGAAUGAAGGGAAGGCAGAGAAUGAUGAUGGAGUGAAAGAUAGUAAGAAACAAUUAAACAGCAGUGCAUCAAGUUGGAGAAUACAAUCACCAAUGUGGAGUCGAAAUGAUAUACCUUCUCAAAAUCAAAACAAAUUACAAGCUAUAAACCUAAAAAAUAAUCGAAAUAUUUCAGCCAAACAGCAUUACCUCAGUAUCGCCCGGUACGUCGCAGGCCAAAAUACAAAUUUAUCAUUCAGAAAUCCAAAUCAAAUGGAUCAAGGUGGCUUACCGAGAUUGUUAUUAAAUGUUUCUGGGGAUCACCAAUGCCACCGGAUAAUGGAGAACUCAAAAUGAAACAACAUUAUCUUCCAUCAAGUAAUCGUUAUGUGUCGGAAAAAACAGAAAGAAAAAUACCGUAUCCAAAUGUCUAUAAUACCCAAGGAAUUAAAUCAACUCCAAAUCGAACAAUAUUUCAACCAAAUAUCUUUGGAAGUGUUUUUAAUUCAUCACGAGCAAAUGGUUCUUCGUAUCAUCGAGUUGAUAGAUCAAGCUGGGCAGCCAAAUA